AGUAAGGUCAGCUAAUUAAGCUAUCGGGCCCAUACC
Molecule: transfer RNA, 36 nt
Filed under: Bos primigenius (aurochs)
Lineage: Eukaryota; Metazoa; Chordata; Mammalia; Artiodactyla; Bovidae
Description: partial tRNA-Met
Source: RNAcentral